This 518-nucleotide ribosomal RNA is filed under the name Vreelandella boliviensis. RNAcentral describes it as "bacterial SSU rRNA". It matches the Rfam family "Bacterial small subunit ribosomal RNA", at positions 395 to 905 of the family's 1533-position model. The record is from RNAcentral. Lineage: Bacteria; Pseudomonadati; Pseudomonadota; Gammaproteobacteria; Oceanospirillales; Halomonadaceae.
UGCCGCGUGUGUGAAGAAGGCCCUCGGGUUGUAAAGCACUUUCAGCGAGGAAGAACGCCUAGUGGUUAAUACCCGGUAGGAAAGACAUCACUCGCAGAAGAAGCACCGGCUAACUCCGUGCCAGCAGCCGCGGUAAUACGGAGGGUGCAAGCGUUAAUCGGAAUUACUGGGCGUAAAGCGCGCGUAGGUGGCUUGAUAAGCCGGUUGUGAAAGCCCCGGGCUCAACCUGGGAACGGCAUCCGGAACUGUCAGGCUAGAGUGCAGGAGAGGAAGGUAGAAUUCCCGGUGUAGCGGUGAAAUGCGUAGAGAUCGGGAGGAAUACCAGUGGCGAAGGCGGCCUUCUGGACUGACACUGACACUGAGGUGCGAAAGCGUGGGUAGCAAACAGGAUUAGAUACCCUGGUAGUCCACGCCGUAAACGAUGUCGACCAGCCGUUGGGUGCCUAGCGCACUUUGUGGCGAAGUUAACGCGAUAAGUCGACCGCCUGGGGAGUACGGCCGCAAGGUUAAAACUCAAA